Molecule: non-coding RNA, 1486 nt
Organism: Cyanistes caeruleus (blue tit)
Lineage: Eukaryota; Metazoa; Chordata; Aves; Passeriformes; Paridae
Source: RefSeq, a predicted model, not a curated record
CAUCUUCUUCCAUCAGCCCAGCUCCAAAAUGUGGAGCUCAUCUUCCAAAUUGAAUAUGUCGGGGGAUUUCUCACAGAAAAACAGUGCAAGGGCAGAAAGCAGUUCCUUGCCUUCUCAACCCUCAAACACCCUAACACCUGCACAAACAGUGCUGGGCUGAGCUGUUUUCCUUCACAAAGUAAAGGCAGUCUUUCUCUUUUUGCAGCCCAUCCGCAAAAUUUGGAUUCCAGCGCCAGAAAUUAGUAGGUCUAAAGACUGCUUUUGCUCAACAGUGUAAGGUGGUCAGACAGCAGCGAAUGUCAGAGAGCAGAUGUGCCUUCAGCAGCCCCACAGAGACCUCAGCACAGUCCAAGAACAUGCCAGACUAGCAUAGAACCUCACCUUUCAAUACUCCUGUUGCUACAACACAUCACAUCACUCUGAUGAAGGUAAGCUUGUGCUCAAGCACUGCACUGAAUCACCACUUGGCACUGUGAGGAAGAGCCCUCUUCAUCUCAAAUGUACCAUUUGUAUUAAUGCCCUUCUUUCCACCAUGACACACCAAGCACAGGGCUGCUGUGAGCAGCAGCAUCACACUCUGCUGUGUUUGGAGAGUAACUUACAAAGCUAUCACAACCCUGCAGUACUUUUCUGUCAGUGGUGCCCAGCAUCAUCCUGAGGGCCUCUCUGCUCCUCUCUGGAGUAAAUACACAGAAAGAUUGUCCAAAGUCCAAAGGUUUGAGGCUAGGAAAUGGUUACUCAGUGUUCAAAAACAGGGCAUUGCCUCUCAAUUUGAACAUAAGCCUAUACAGCAUUCUCAAACAACAGAAGCACUUUGGGGAGCAGAAAUAUUUGUUAACCUUAGGAGGUUGAGCCUGGGAAGUUACAACAGUAAAAAAUCAACCACAGCUGGGAGAUACAAACUCCAGAUGUCAGGCAGGCUCCACGGGGACCAUCUGCAUGUAGCAUUCAAGGGAAAGGGAUUUUAUGUCACUGCUGAACCAUAGAUAAGGGUGGUGUACCUGAUUUCCUGAUUUCCUCCAACCUGACGUGUGAAAAACAUUUCCUGCUUCUGUUGGUUGAUGUGUUCUGGGGGAGUGUUCCAGGGGCCUGCACAAUCCCUUUGCAGGUUAUCCUUCUCGAGUCCCAAAAUACCACUCAAACCUACUCCAACUAGCUCAGUGAAGUAAAAAAAUAGCCAUUUCUUCAGAUCAACAUGAACUUUCUUACAUCUUCUUGCUCAGCUCUGCAGUAGUGGGGAAGUUGUUCCAAGGCAGAAAACCACACUGGAAGCAGCCAAGGGUGAGGAAAGCACAGAGCCUGCACAAAUCCCCAGGUGGCCAACAUGGCCCAAAACCAAGAGAGCUGGGGCCCAAGGCUGAGCAAGUUUUCUCUGAAGGAAACAAAGGCUUUGGCAAGAGUUUGUGGUUGUUACUUCAGGAGGCAGAAAGACCUCCAGGAAAUGAACCAUCUACAGAUCAGCAUUAAAGUCAGAUUAUUUUCUGCA